Molecule: ribosomal RNA, 422 nt
Filed under: uncultured Oscillibacter sp.
Lineage: Bacteria; Bacillati; Bacillota; Clostridia; Eubacteriales; Oscillospiraceae
Description: bacterial SSU rRNA
Rfam family: Bacterial small subunit ribosomal RNA
Source: RNAcentral
UGGGGGAUAUUGCACAAUGGGCGAAAGCCUGAUGCAGCGACGCCGCGUGAGGGAAGACGGUUUUCGGAUUGUAAACCUCUGUCUUCGGGGACGAAAAUGACGGUACCCGAGGAGGAAGCCACGGCUAACUACGUGCCAGCAGCCGCGGUAAUACGUAGGUGGCAAGCGUUGUCCGGAAUUACUGGGUGUAAAGGGCGUGCAGCCGGGCCGACAAGUCAGAUGUGAAAUCCCGAGGCUUAACCUCGGAACUGCAUUUGAAACUGUUGGUCUUGAGUAUCGGAGAGGUCAUCGGAAUUCCUUGUGUAGCGGUGAAAUGCGUAGAUAUAAGGAAGAACACCAGUGGCGAAGGCGGAUGACUGGACGACAACUGACGGUGAGGCGCGAAAGCGUGGGGAGCGAACAGGAUUAGAUACCCUGGUAGU